AGAAGUGUGCUCUUCCGAUUUGGACAGUCCAGUAUCUGGACAAUAGAAUACACCCUGUGUGAAGACAACGGAGAUGUACUUCAGGUCAAGAAACAGGACAAAAG
Molecule: long non-coding RNA, 104 nt
Organism: Haliotis rubra (blacklip abalone)
Lineage: Eukaryota; Metazoa; Mollusca; Gastropoda; Lepetellida; Haliotidae
Exons: 4
Source: RefSeq, a predicted model, not a curated record